GUCCUUUUAGUUUAAUAAUAAAACUUUGGUUUGUGGGAUCAAUAAUCUUUUUAUAAGAAUGGGCU
This 65-nucleotide transfer RNA is filed under the name Metcalfa pruinosa. RNAcentral describes it as "tRNA-His". The record is from RNAcentral. Lineage: Eukaryota; Metazoa; Arthropoda; Insecta; Hemiptera; Flatidae.